RNAcentral lists this non-coding RNA (22 nucleotides) under Arabidopsis thaliana (thale cress). The record is from RNAcentral. Lineage: Eukaryota; Viridiplantae; Streptophyta; Magnoliopsida; Brassicales; Brassicaceae.
UAGGCUGAUUGACUGGACCUAG